Clupea harengus (Atlantic herring) is the source of this 1015-nucleotide long non-coding RNA. The record is from Ensembl. Lineage: Eukaryota; Metazoa; Chordata; Actinopteri; Clupeiformes; Clupeidae.
AAAAAAAAGAAAAGAAUAGGACAAUAAAGAUAAAGAGACAGAGCGAAAGACAAAUAUGGGGGAAGGCUGUUUAUGUUGAAGGGAGGGGGGUCCUGCGGAGAGUUUGAGGCACUGCUGCCACCCCUAGAAUAACAUUAACCUUACUGUUUCCAUACAUGUUAAAGUCUAGCCUACACGCCACACAUGCCUGCCUGCCUGCCUCCCUGCCCAUGAAUUUAACGGGUCUGAAUAUUGGCAGAAAGAGUGCAAAAUGUUUCUUUAGUAAGGAGACUUUAGCCCUGCGCAAUACUGAAGUGAGCACAUUUUGUGUUUUAUAUUAUGUUUUUACUUUAUGUUAUUUUAUUUAUUUAUUUUUUAUGCUUAAUUUCUGAGUUGUUUGGUGUGUGUUUUUUUUUUAAAUGUAUUUUGUCUGUUUCGUUUUGUUGUGGUUUGUUUAUGUAUUGUUCUUCUGUACUAUGUGGCCUCAAUCAGGGCAUUGCUGCAAAAGAGCCCUGUGCUCAGUCAAUUUCUCCCUGAAUAAACAAUGAUGAUGAUGAUAUAAAUAGUCUCCUUCUUUUUUCUUUCUAAAAACUCUAGAUCCAAGUCCAAAGCAUCUAAAGUCAGAAUGCAUGGACAACUAUUUAACAUGAAGUUGACAUUGGACAUUAGCAGUUUGGUGAGUGGAGGCUAAAAUAGAUUCAUGGGGAAAGAUACUAUUCCAGCAGUGCCCAUGUGCUGCACCGAUUAAUCCAUGUAUAUUUGUGUUAUAUAUGAAUGGAAGUAUAGGUGUGAGAGUUUCAGGGACUUUCAAAAAAUAUUUCAUGACAAAUUAAGAGAAUCAUUUGGCUGAACACCUGUAAAAGCAUAUUAUUUCACUUACCCAUACUUUAGUAAAGUAUAAAACUGAGUUUUGUUUACUACAAGUUUAUCUUUUCUAAGCUGGCAGUUCAAUAAUUUCCAUGAUUCUGACAGGAAGAAAUGCUACUAUUAUCUAUCAAGCUUCAAAAAUGUUAACAUUUUUAAUGGAUUUCCAACA